This 513-nucleotide ribosomal RNA is filed under the name uncultured Bacteroidota bacterium. RNAcentral's name for it is "bacterial SSU rRNA". It matches the Rfam family "Bacterial small subunit ribosomal RNA", at positions 8 to 522 of the family's 1533-position model. Lineage: Bacteria; Pseudomonadati; Bacteroidota. The record is from RNAcentral.
AGAGUUUGAUCCUGGCUCAGGAUGAACGCUAGCGGCAGGCUUAACACAUGCAAGUCGAGGGGUAUAGGUUUUCGAACCUAGAGACCGGCGCACGGGUGCGUAACGCGUAUGCAAUCUACCUUUUACUGAGGGAUAGCCCAGAGAAAUUUGGAUUAAUACCUCAUAGCAUUAUUGAAUGGCAUCAUUUAAUAAUUAAAGUCACAACGGUAAAAGAUGAGCAUGCGUCCCAUUAGCUUGUUGGUAAGGUAACGGCUUACCAAGGCAACGAUGGGUAGGGGUCCUGAGAGGGAGAUCCCCCACACUGGUACUGAGACACGGACCAGACUCCUACGGGAGGCAGCAGUGAGGAAUAUUGGUCAAUGGGCGCAAGCCUGAACCAGCCAUGCCGCGUGCAGGAUGACGGUCCUAUGGAUUGUAAACUGCUUUUGCACAGGAAGAAACACUCGGACGUGUCCGAGCUUGACGGUACUGUGAGAAUAAGGAUCGGCUAACUCCGUGCCAGCAGCCGCGGUA